UNUGGCUUAACUGGGGGCUUGCGGUGGGUACGGGCCGGCUUGAGUGCGGUAGGGGAGACUGGAACUCCUGGUGUAGCGGUGGAAUCCGCAGAUAUCAGGAAGAACACCGGUGGCGAAGGCGGGUNUCUGGGCCGUUACUGACGCUGAGGAGCGAAAGCGUGGGGAGCGAACAGGAUUAGAUACCCUGGUAGUCCACGCCGUAAACGUUGGGCACUAGGUGUGGGGGGCCUUUUCCGGGUCUUCCGCGCCGUAGCUAACGCAUUAAGUGCCCCGCCUGGGGAGUACGGCCGCAAGGCUAAAACUCAAAGGAAUUGACGGGGGCCCGCACAAGCGGCGGAGCAUGCGGAUUAAUUCGAUGCAACGCGAAGAACCUUACCAAGGCUUGACAUGUGCCGGUCGGCUCCGGAGACGGGGUUUCCUCCUUGUGGGGCCGGUUCACAGGUGGUGCAUGGUUGUCGUCAGCUCGUGUCGUGAGAUGUUGGGUUAAGUCCCGCAACGAGCGCAACCCUUGUCCCGUGUUGCCAGCACGUUGUGGUGGGGACUCGCGGGAGACUGCCGGGGUCAACUCGGAGGAAGGUGGGGAUGACGUCAAAUCAUCAUGCCCCUUAUGUCUUGGGCUUCACGCAUGCUACAAUGGCCGGUACAGAGGGCUGCGAUACCGUGAGGUGGAGCGAAUCCCUUAAAGCCGGUCUCAGUUCGGAUCGGUGUCUGCAACUCGACACCGUGAAGUUGGAGUCGCUAGUAAUCGCAGAUCAGCAACGCUGCGGUGAAUACGUUCUCGGGCCUUGUACACACCGCCCGUCACGUCAUGAAAGUCGGCAACACCCNA
This 829-nucleotide ribosomal RNA is filed under the name uncultured bacterium. RNAcentral describes it as "bacterial SSU rRNA". It matches the Rfam family "Bacterial small subunit ribosomal RNA", at positions 603 to 1424 of the family's 1533-position model. The record is from RNAcentral.